This 390-nucleotide long non-coding RNA is filed under the name Setaria viridis. RNAcentral's name for it is "long non-coding RNA (SVIR_LNC003418)". Lineage: Eukaryota; Viridiplantae; Streptophyta; Magnoliopsida; Poales; Poaceae. The record is from RNAcentral.
GAGAGUUCAUGAUAUAUCUAAGAAUCUAAAAUGUGCUUUAUCGAUAUAUUUGUAAGCUUUAAUCGGGUUGUCAUCAAUCACCAAAAAGGGGGAGAUUGAAAGUGCAUCUAGGCCCCUAAGUGAGUUUUGGUGAAUUGAAUGACAAAAUGAUUAAAGGACUAACUUAUUUACUUAAGAUUAUGAGCAGUGUUUUAUUCUCAUAUUUAUGAUGUAAUAUUGUCUCCUAAGUUGAAUAUGCAUUAUAUGGCUCACAAUGAAGAAAGCAAGCAAGUAUAUAAUCCUGUGAUGCAAAUGUAUGAUCAAUGACAAGCAAGAGUAAAGUGAAAUUUGGGAUAUGUAAUCAUGAUUGAUCUAUAAGUCUCAAAACCAUGUGAUAGCUUGAUUGACAAG